UACGUAGGCAGCAAGCGUUGUUCGGAGUUACUGGGCGUAAAGGGUGCGUAGGCGGUUGUUUAAGUUUGGUGUGAAAUCUCCCGGCUCAACUGGGAGGGUGCGCCGAAUACUGAAUGACUAGAGUGCGGGAGAGGAGAGUGGAAUUCCUGGUGUAGCGGUGAAAUGCGUAGAUAUCUGGAGGAACACCGGUGGCGAAGGCGGCGUCCUGGACCAACACUGACACUGAUGAGCGAAAGCCAGGGGAGCAAACGGG
This 253-nucleotide ribosomal RNA is filed under the name uncultured bacterium. RNAcentral describes it as "partial 16S ribosomal RNA". It matches the Rfam family "Bacterial small subunit ribosomal RNA", at positions 524 to 776 of the family's 1533-position model. The record is from RNAcentral.